RNAcentral lists this long non-coding RNA (230 nucleotides) under Elaeis guineensis (African oil palm). Its description in RNAcentral is "long non-coding RNA (EGUI_LNC026116)". The record is from RNAcentral. Lineage: Eukaryota; Viridiplantae; Streptophyta; Magnoliopsida; Arecales; Arecaceae.
ACCUAAUCGGGUCAAACCUAACUGAAUCCAAUUCAAUUGUACUUGAUCUAAAAAUAAUGACUCAAUCAAAUUGAGUUAAUUAGCGAUCAAAUCACUAAUUAAAACUCUCAUAAAUAUUGAGUCCAAAUUCGAUGGAUAAUCGGGCAUCAGAAUUCAUCGAUAUGUAACCCUGAUCGAAGAGUCCCAAACCAGUGGAACUCUUGACCCCGGUACCCAAAAUGUGUGGGACU